RNAcentral lists this ribosomal RNA (484 nucleotides) under uncultured bacterium. RNAcentral's name for it is "partial 16S ribosomal RNA". It matches the Rfam family "Bacterial small subunit ribosomal RNA", at positions 30 to 507 of the family's 1533-position model. The record is from RNAcentral.
AUUGAACGCUGGCGGCAGGCCUAACACAUGCAAGUCGAGCGGAUGAAGGGAGCUUGCUCCUGGAUUCAGCGGCGGACGGGUGAGUAAUGCCUAGGAAUCUGCCUGGUAGUGGGGGAUAACGUCCGGAAACGGGCGCUAAUACCGCAUACGUCCUGAGGGAGAAAGUGGGGGAUCUUCGGACCUCACGCUAUCAGAUGAGCCUAGGUCGGAUUAGCUAGUUGGUGGGGUAAAGGCCUACCAAGGCGACGAUCCGUAACUGGUCUGAGAGGAUGAUCAGUCACACUGGAACUGAGACACGGUCCAGACUCCUACGGGAGGCAGCAGUGGGGAAUAUUGGACAAUGGGCGAAAGCCUGACCCAGCCAUGCCGCGUGUGUGAAGAAGGUCUUCGGAUUGUAAAGCACUUUAAGUUGGGAGGAAGGGCAGUAAGUUAAUACCUUGCUGUUUUGACGUUACCAAAAGAAUAAGCACCGGCUAACUUCGUG